UACGUAGGGGCCGAGCGUUGUCCGGAGUUACUGGGCGUAAAGCGCGCGCAGGCGGCUCGUCAAGCCUGACGUGAAAGCCCCCGGCUCAACCGGGGAGGGUCGUCGGGGACUGGCGGGCUUGAGGUCGGCAGGGGUUGGUGGAAUUCCCGGUGUAGUGGUGAAAUACGUAGAGAUCGGGAGGAACACCAGUGGCGAAGGCGGCUACCUGGACCAGCACUGACACUGAGGCACGAAAGCGUGGGGAGCAAACAGG
This 253-nucleotide ribosomal RNA is filed under the name uncultured bacterium. RNAcentral's name for it is "partial 16S ribosomal RNA". It matches the Rfam family "Bacterial small subunit ribosomal RNA", at positions 524 to 776 of the family's 1533-position model. The record is from RNAcentral.